AUUAAGAAAACAAUGAAAUAAAAUCAUCGAAGACCAUAAUAUUUAUAAUCAGAUGUUCAUAUAUUUUUCAUUUCCUAAGCUAGUUAAUGAAGAAAAAGUAGUUGUUUUUCUAUAAAGAAAUUUUAAUGCAGUUAAAUUUUUAUUUCUUAGGGCACUUAUCUGUGUCAUUUCUGUUAAUGAAAAAUUUCUGUUCAUCACUCAGAGCCAUAAGUUGACAGGUUUUAGGCAAAGCUAAAACAAAAAGGAAUUUUUAAAUUUUGACUUUUCUUUAAAGAACAUUAAUAUUAGGAAUAAGAAAAUGACUUGAAUUAGUCUGUCUGAAUAAAACAAUUUUUCAAAGAUAUUAUUUUGAAACCUUUCCAGAACAGAUAAAUACCUUUUUUUGUUAUGUUUUUGUACUAAGGAUUCAUAAGAUUUUUUGAAAAAUUUCACUUUCUUAAUUGACAAUCAGUAUAUAAAAGAAAAAUAAAAUUCAUUUCUAUUUCCCAAAUUAUUGAAUUAAAUUUAAAAUUAGCUAUUUGCUUUGAAUAAAUUUUUCCUAUCAAAAAUAGCUUGAAAAUUUAAAUUUAGGCCAUCUUUUAUAAACGAUAAAGCAGAAUUUACAAGGUUUGAGUGUUAUUUUAUUUCUUACAGGUAGGUUAUGAAGUUUUUAAGCAUUCUCUAAAUUCACAACUUUAAUGAUGUAAAGUUGAAAUUAUACUGAACUACUUUAAAUUGACUUUAAAUCUAGGACAAGUUUUAUGUUGAUUAAAAUUUGGAAGUAAAGUUAAAAAUAUCAUAAAGUAAAAAGUUUAAGCUAAAAAUAUAACUGAAAAUAUCUAAAAAUGUUCAGCAAAAUUGUGUGUAAGUGUGUCUUCAUGGAUGUAUAUGUUUAUCUGAUUUACAAAUAUCCCCAAAGAGAUUGCAUUGAGAGGCAAAACUUUUUAAAAAGGAAACCAUAAAAUUUGACAAAAUAUCAUGAUCCAAUUUCUGCAAUAAUGUGUGGAAGCAUAUAGUAACAACACUGGAGUAAUUAUUAUCAUUAACACUGAUGAAUUAAUGAAAAUUGGAUUAGAAUUCAUAAGGAAACAAUUAAUCCCCAAACUUUGCAGUUGGCUUUUUUCAGUUUAGGCUUUUCUGAUUGCAGAUUCACAACAAUGUGAGUGAGAUUAUCAAUAACCUGAAUAACUUGAGAAUUUAGCUUAAAGCUAAGACAUCAGUCAACAUCCUAUUUGUUACUUUAAGUCAAACGAAAACUGAUAAAUUGCAGUUUUUCUCUUCUUUCCUAAUAACCUUGACUCAUUUCAAAUGUAACAAAUGCAUUUAUAAAGUUUACAUAUACCAAUCUACACACACAGAGGCAUACAAGCAUACACAUAGACACAAGCACGCACACAGACACACAUAGGCAUGAGCACACACACAUACACGAAGCUAAUUCAAUAAUGAUCAUCAUCAUUCUUCUUACGUUGUUACUGAAGUGUUAAAAGGUUUGUGAUAAGCUUAGGGGAAAUAUUGAAAAUAUCGUGAUACCUCUUUCAUAGAAGACUGACUGAACUAUUAUUUACUGCAUAGCAUACACCUUAAUAACAGGGGUGACAAUCUCUCUGCCUAAUAUCAAUCUCAUUAAAUGCCUGCACAUAAACCACCAUCAUUUUAUGUCUGUUUUUCUAACUCUGCUUGAGUUGGAAGAAGCACAGCAUCUUCAUUAACCAUCUCCAUCUUGAGAUCAACCUUCACCAUUUCUUCCAAAGUCUUCCUCUUCUGCAGAUUCCUUGUCAUUUCUUUGCCAACACACAGAGAUAUAAAUACUAUCAUCAUCAUCAUCUUUAUGUCUAUAUUUCCAUGUCUGUAUGAGUUUGAAGGGAUAUCUUAGAGUCAGUUCUUAUUCACAUUUACUACCCUCCUGCACAGUCUGGGCACAUCAUCUCAUUCAUAGGGCUCAUUGUUGACAUGGUUUCUAGAUAUCCCUCUUAGCACCAACUACUUUACAUCAUAUAGUGGGUGCAUUAUUAUCAUGGCAACAUCAUUAGAGAGAUUGAUUUGUCUUUCACAAGUUUACAGAGUCCUACCAUUUCUUGUCUUCAUUCACUUGCCAAUAAUUACUUUUAAUUGCACCAACAACAUAUAGGACUUGUCUUGUCCUUAGCAAGACUAAAGAUUCCUUUCUACCUAACACUAUUUCCAUUCACUGACCACAGGGUUGCUGCAUCCUUAGCUGUAGCAAUCCCUUACAGACAGAAGAGAGUGUGGUAAAAGAGAAACCCAAGUCAAAGUGAAUGGAGUGAGAAAAAAUAAAGGAAAAGAGAUAGUAAUGGACUGCUAUAUGACAUUUGUUGGUAAGGGGAUUGAAUAGAAAUAAGUGUGGUGUAAAUGAAGAGGGGGAGAUGAGGGAAAGAAGGUUAUAAGAUAGGGAAUGCAAAAAGUAAGGGACUGCUAAGAGAGAGUGUGAGGGAUGUCAACAUAGGUAUGAGAGGGGAAAAUGUGAGAAAGAACGAGAUCUAGCAAUAAAGAAGAGACAAUAUAGAAUGGACUGAAAAGGGAAAGAUUCAAUGCAAUGCCAUCCUCAUCAUAGAAGCAGGCAGAGAAAAUGAUGGUAGAGAGGCACAUUGAUAGAAGGGAUGUAUGAUGGAUGAGGGCAGGAAUGAUGAGUGAAAGAGAGAGGGAGAACAGUAUAUAAAGAUUUAAUAAAGACUUUGUGGUCAAGAGAAACUCAAAUGUAAAUAUUAUUCAUCUCAAUAUCCAUCACUAACAUCAUCUGAUUUUUUACAUCCAUUUUUCCAAGCAUGCAUUGUUUGGGUGGGUCUUCUCUAGUCAGCACUUUGCCAUGAGUCACAUUCAUUUGUCAUCUUCUCCAUGAUAAUCAGCCUCUUGAGAACAGUCUUCACCACUCCAUUUUAUGCCUUCCUUGUCUUUCCACAUCCACAGGCUCCAUCCAUUCGGAACAUUGAUACUUCUUUAUGCAACUGCCAUCCUUCAUAUUGUAUCGGAUGCCAUUACAAGUGCAGCUUUCUCUUUUGCAUAAGACAUCUGAUUCCUCUGAGUCCUCAACUCAUUUCCUCUCUGCUGUUCAUGGUCACUAACAAUGUACAUCCAGCAAAGUAGGCUUCCUCCAUUUUUUGUCUAACCUUCAAAAAUCUUUCACACUCAAAGCUUACAUAUUGUACUUAAUACAUCAUUCAAUCUGUACAUCAAAAAGAGAAAAACUUUUUGUUGCCAGCAGAGACAGUAACUCUCGGAAAUCCCGCACUCCUGUUCAUACUCUGACCACAACAAGCAUCACAGCUAAUUAGGUCACCUAGGUAAGAAAAGCGACUGACCAUUUCUAGGAAGCCCUCCAAGCAUUUCAAGGAGAUUAUGUGUACUCUGUCUACUUACUCUUCUGUAUAUCUGUCAUAAACAGAGUUUACCUUUUCUCUCAGUCUGCUUGCAACCCCACUACACCUUUUGCGCAUCCAUCAUUUACAAUGGAUAUACUGUAUAGAAAUGCUACUGAAUACUUCAAAUAUCAAGCACGACAACUUACACAAUAAGACACUGCUUGUCAUUGUUCCUCCUGAUACUUAACUCAUUUAAUUCAAAUCAUCACAAUUUUUCUUUCUUUUUUUUUUCUGAUUAGUUUGAAAUCAAACUUCAUGACAUCUUAUUUAGAGACAUUCAUAAAUUAAAAUAUUUCAUCUUGUAGAUUAAAAAUUGGGAAGAUACUAAUUUUGAAAUAAAUAGAGGAAAGGUAUCACCAAAUAGUUUAAUCCUUUUAUAAUUCUCUCUUAUUUCCACGGUAACAUUUCAACUAAUAAACUCUGGCCAAUUUUCAUGUUUACUUACAGCUUCAGAAAAACCAACAAUAAAAGCUUAUAGCAAUUCAAUAUUCAAUGUGGAUAGACAAUAAAAAUAACUGACACUUCAUAGAAGUAAACCAAAGACCUUUGCAGGUUCACAGAGAACAGCUGAGAUCAAUAGAUAUUCACUGUUUCAUUCUAUGAAAGAUGGUAAAAGCCUCAAUUUAUCAAGGUUUGAGAAUUAGGCACCAACCAUUUUUCUGAUGAUUGCACAUGGCUUAAUCAAAUGGAUAUGAGUAGAUUCUGUUGAUAUUGUUGAUUGAAAGUCAUGUUGCUGGGGACAACCAAAAUCCCACAGACAAUUGCAGUGAAGAUGGUUAGAGGCAAUAACAGUGGGAUCAGAAAAGUAUUUCAGAGUUACUAGCUAUAAAAGCUUCACCUGUUAAACAGUCCAAGAAAAUCUGGAUCUUGAUGACAUGUACAAGUGGUUAGAGGAGAGAACAAUAAUACAGCACACUUAUUUCUACCACUUAAAAGUAUUUAAAGUAAGACUGCAUUAAUGGUAGGGUUGUUUUCUUUCAUGGUAAGAAAAUAAGACUAGGAUAUUUUGUAGUCUGAGAUUAAUGAGGGAGAGACUGUUUCAGAGGAAUGAUUUCAAAGUCAAUAGCCUUCAACAUUUCAUUAGGUUCGAUAAUACAGGAAAGAUUAUCAAACAUUGAAUAAAAUAGUUUGGUCAAGGGAAUGUGAGCAUACUCUAUAAUUGUAAUUGUAUUUGGGUAGUGAUAUACACAGUAUUUUAACUUCUCUUUUAAUUCUCUCAAAUGAAUUACAUUUGUGAGGGUGAUAGCUUUCAAGAAUUGUAGGGACUGAUCUUUUAUCUCAUAUGGCACCGACACAACAUUUACUUACCUGUUCUAUGAUUGUUAGUUCACAGAAAGCAACAGAAUGUAAAUUAGGGAGAGUAUGACUGGGGAAAUUGUCUUCACUUUUCCCUUGGUUAUUUCACAUAGUUCAGGAUAGAAAUAUACUUGUUUGAAUUUAAUCAAAAUUUGCACAGUUAGGAAAUUUAAUUAUUUAUUUGUAGAAAGAAUAAAAUGAAUGAGACAUACAAAUUUGUGACGAACUGAGCUAUUUUAGAGAUAUGCAUGUAUCAUUUACUGACAUGUAUUCAUAGAUGCAGGUUAGUUUGUAAAGAAUAAGUUGAAAUUUAUUUAGAUUACAAUUAUUUGAGAUGGCAAAAGCCUCUCAAUGAUAAUGUUGACAAAUACUGUAUUUUACUCUACAAGAAUUUCACUACAGUUAUUGUAAUUGUGUGGAGGAAACUAACAAAUAUGAUCUACAGCAAAUCCAAAACCCUAGACUCUGGAAACAACUGAACCAUUUGACACAAUAAUACAAUACUGUAACUUAUGGUUUUACAAUUUUAAUUUGAAGAAGAUAAAUAUCCAAAUUGGAAAACCAUUUUACUGUAAGGUAUAGGAAUUUAAGCUUCAUUGCAGUAAACUAUGAUGAAUAAUUAAACCUAUAGGCCCACAACUAAGCAGGUAACUAGCUCUGGAUUAUAAAUUUACUCCUGCAGAAGAGCAGUAAAAACAUACAACAGCAAAUAUUACUAAUUAUUAUUGUCUUAUUGUUUUGUGGCUUGAAAUCACUGACAGAUAUUUCAUUUCAAAUAUUGGUUAUAUUGAUGAAUCUUAAUUAAAAUUGAUAGACUGAUAGCCAAAUAGAAAAGCAAUAGCAAACUAAUUAGAGAGAGAGGGAGAGAGGGAUUAGUUUCCAAAUAAAAUAUUUUAAAUAUAAACCUCAACAUAA
Octopus sinensis (East Asian common octopus) is the source of this 5570-nucleotide long non-coding RNA. RefSeq lists it as uncharacterized. NCBI's taxonomy places the organism in Eukaryota, Metazoa, Mollusca, Cephalopoda, Octopoda, Octopodidae. The transcript has 2 exons. The record is from RefSeq and is a predicted model, not a curated record.